AUUGAUUAUGUUCUGUUAUUUUGUGCAGAUACUAUAAGAGAACGAAAGCUGUUUUCAAAGAGUUUCAUCGAACACCUCGUCAUUGAAUUGGAUGAACGAGGUGGAAGAUUCAAUUUGAGAUUUUAGGUCAUCUUUCACAAGGAGUUACUGAAGCUGUUAUUGCUAAUCGUAAUGAACCAGCAAAACAAUGUUGACAAUUCUGGAGUCUGUUUCGACUCCAAAGCAAGAACUGCACUGGCAUUUGAGACACUGAGAGCUGAUGGUUAACGCGAGUUUAUGUUUUUCCGCAAUCCAAGUGCAGAUAUGCUUCUCCGUGAAUCAGGACUCAAUAAAGACCUUCUGAAGAAGGCAUCCGUCCUUCACUAUGGAUCUAUGAGUUUGAUUGAGGAGCCAUGCAGGUCAACACAACUCGCUGCUAUGAAGAUACAGAAAAAUAAGUUGUUUCCUUCUCUUUUCUUUCAUGUAUCAUUGACAACAUAUAAUUAUAAAUACAAAUGGUGCAGAAUGUGAUUGGUUUGAUACCUUGGUUGCUUGAUUGAUUGAAUCAGGAUAGGGGGUAUUUGCAGGAUAAAAUAG
This is a long non-coding RNA of Papaver somniferum (opium poppy), 576 nucleotides long. RefSeq lists it as uncharacterized. The record is from RefSeq and is a predicted model, not a curated record. The transcript has 4 exons. Lineage: Eukaryota; Viridiplantae; Streptophyta; Magnoliopsida; Ranunculales; Papaveraceae.